This 561-nucleotide ribosomal RNA is filed under the name Triticum aestivum (bread wheat). RNAcentral describes it as "partial small subunit ribosomal RNA". Lineage: Eukaryota; Viridiplantae; Streptophyta; Magnoliopsida; Poales; Poaceae. The record is from RNAcentral.
AUGUUUGCUUUCAAGAAAAGAUGGAUGUGUGUUGUGACUGUGACAGAGGGUUCUACUGGAUAUGUUGUUGGGUAUAUGACAAGAAGCAUUGGUAAGGAUAUCAAAAUAGAAGAGAAUGCUGCAACGACCAAGGUGCCAUAUAUAUCGAAGGUGCUCGCAAACUUCCUUCGACUGGAGGAUUCGGAAUAUGAAGUUACUGGAAACAUUGUUGGAAGUGUUGGUCCUGAGAGUACAGAAAAGGAUUCAUCGUUUCUUAUAAAAACAUUGCGAUCAUUCAAAGAAGCUUUGAUUAAGGAUGAUGACACAAAUGUUGCUGAGAUUGAGGCCUUCUUACUUUGCAUUGAUGUUGAUGAUGAGAAGAACUCUCUUAUGAGGAAAAUCAUUGCUUUAGAUGAAUUAUUGAUAACCGUGAGAGAUUGUGUCUUGAGAGCAGGUGCAGAAUCUGUAUUCUACAGACUGAGGGCAGGUGCAGAUUCUGAAUUCUGCACACAGAAGACAGAAACAGAGAGCUGGUGGCAAAUGUGCAAGGGGAAGUUAUGGAGAUCUUUCUUCGCUAGCUGA